AGAAUAUGCUGUAGAUGGUUCUACGUUUUGAUUGCAGAUCGAAAAUAAGGGGUUCGAUUCCUCCAUAUUCUU
RNAcentral lists this transfer RNA (72 nucleotides) under Spathularia flavida. Its description in RNAcentral is "tRNA-Cys". It matches the Rfam family "tRNA". From Rfam's summary of the family: Transfer RNA (tRNA) molecules are approximately 80 nucleotides in length. Their secondary structure includes four short double-helical elements and three loops (D, anti-codon, and T loops). Lineage: Eukaryota; Fungi; Ascomycota; Leotiomycetes; Rhytismatales; Cudoniaceae. The record is from RNAcentral.